CCUUCUGCUUAGCUCAACUCUGUGGUCUUUCCAUUGUCCUUUAUAUAAUAUUAUAUUAUUGGUGAUUGGUCACAUUCUCCUUUGCUCAUUUUUUUAAGGUGGUAAUGGUAGGUUGCAUGUAUGGCUGGAUAUGGACCAUGAGCAGCGGACCCUUUGGUAGUUAUAAACUCAAACCGACAAGUGGAUCUGUAGCCUAUUACUCUUCAGUUAUGAUACAUCUGGGCAGCAAUGAGUCUGCAAAAUAUAGUUUGUUUGACAGGGUGCUAUGAUUAGGUCCAUUUUUGGGUUUAGAUGCUGACGAUUAAUAUAAAUGUGCCUUCCAGUUUCUAGUUAAUAUCUUUAUAUUUUAAAUAACCGUGGUGUUUGGGCCAGCUUGCGUGUACCUCAACUAAUCCAUGGGAUACCUGCUACCUUUCAGCUACAAAGGUAUCGGAUGAUGAUGUCUACCAAGAAUUGGACAGAUGGAAAGAAAUCACCUAGUAUUUUUGCUUCCGUUGGAAUUUGUUCAUUGGCCACUAGGCCAUACUCUUGGGUGGUUAUAGUUAUUGUGGCGUGCUAAUUUGGAAAUUCAUUUUCUUGUCUUAGUCCUGGCGUGGUAUCUAUGCUUGUUUAUCCAAUGUGUUAUCUUUGCUUGGUCAUCCAUGCUAUGACAAGAAAUUGAGCUCUUUUGGACAUUUACAGCUUUGCUUUUGUCCAUUAAAAUCUGUCUCUUUUGAAUGAAACAUCCAGUAACAUAAGUGGCUAUUUGACAGCUUAAUGAAUAUUUUGGACCACUACUUGGCUUAUUACAAGUUCUAGUUUGAGGUAACCUAAGAAAGUUAUUGUAAUUGACAUAUUUGGCAUAUUGCAUAUGGGGUCAUCUAGUCAGAGUGGAAUUGUAACAUGUUGGUGUGAUAAUCUAAUAAUACACCUGCAGAUAAAAAGGUUUCUGAAGAUGAAAGGAGUGUUUUCAAGAGUGAUAUGUUGCCAUAAACUCUUGGUUGAGAUUCUGCAGAGCUGGUCUGUUUAGUGACAAGAACCUCAGAAAAGAAGACAGGUGUUAGCAUGAAACUUUCUUGCUAAGAAAUUAGAAUGUUAAAAGUGGUGAUUAUCAUUAAAAGAUUAGGAAAAGAGAGCAUUUACAACAUUUUAUUAAGAUGGGACCUAAUAGUCUGGUGGGGCUGUGACUAAUUUUUUGGUGCAUUUCCCUGUCUGCUAAGGUGAAGAAAUAGUUCUUGUUUUAAGCAAAAAAUACGUGAUUGGUACAAAUUUUUAAAGUGAUUGCAUUAGGCUGUGGUGGUGGGGAUUUGAGUUUUAUAGUAGUUUCCUAAUCAGACUUGACUUGGAAAGUUUUUGUAACUGAAUUUCCAUAUUUGAGGGACCUUGUAUCUGUUGUUUAGCUCAUUUAUUAUGUGGUCUUUCCUUUGUCCUAAUGCAUAUAUUAUAUAAUGGGUGGUUA
Molecule: long non-coding RNA, 1438 nt
Filed under: Nicotiana benthamiana
Lineage: Eukaryota; Viridiplantae; Streptophyta; Magnoliopsida; Solanales; Solanaceae
Description: long non-coding RNA (NBEN_LNC040245)
Source: RNAcentral